GAUGAACGCUGGCGGCGUGCCUAAUACAUGCAAGUCGAGCGAACGGACGAGAAGCUUGCUUCUCUGAUGUUAGCGGCGGACGGGUGAGUAACACGUGGAUAACCUACCUAUAAGACUGGGAUAACUUCGGGAAACCGGAGCUAAUACCGGAUAAUAUUUUGAACCGCAUGGUUCAAAAGUGAAAGACGGUCUUGCUGUCACUUAUAGAUGGAUCCGCGCUGCAUUAGCUAGUUGGUAAGGUAACGGCUUACCAAGGCAACGAUGCAUAGCCGACCUGAGAGGGUGAUCGGCCACACUGGAACUGAGACACGGUCCAGACUCCUACGGGAGGCAGCAGUAGGGAAUCUUCCGCAAUGGGCGAAAGCCUGGCGGAGCAACGCCGCGUGAGUGAUGAAGGUCUUCGGAUCGUAAAACUCUGUUAUUAGGGAAGAACAUAUGUGUAAGUAACUGUGCACAUCUUGACGGUACCUAAUCAGAAAGCCACGGCUAACUACGUGCCAGCAGCCGCGGUAAUACGUAGGUGGCAAGCGUUAUCCGGAAUUAUUGGGCGUAAAGCGCGCGUAGGCGGUUUUUUAAGUCUGAUGUGAAAGCCCGCGGCUCAACCGUGGAGGGUCAUUGGAAACUGGAAAACUUGAGUGCAGAAGAGGAAAGUGGAAUUCCAUGUGUAGCGGUGAAAUGCGCAGAGAUAUGGAGGAACACCAGUGGCGAAGGCGACUUUCUGGUCUGUAACUGACGCUGAUGUGCGAAAGCGUGGGGAUCAAACAGGAUUAGAUACCCUGGUAGUCCACGCCGUAAACGAUGAGUGCUAAGUGUUAGGGGGUUUCCGCCCCUUAGUGCUGCAGCUAACGCAUUAAGCACUCCGCCUGGGGAGUACGACCGCAAGGUUGAAACUCAAAGGAAUUGACGGGGACCCGCACAAGCGGUGGAGCAUGUGGUUUAAUUCGAAGCAACGCGAAGAACCUUACCAAAUCUUGACAUCCUUUGACAACUCUAGAGAUAGAGCUUUCCCCUUCGGGGGACAAAGUGACAGGUGGUGCAUGGUUGUCGUCAGCUCGUGUCGUGAGAUGUUGGGUUAAGUCCCGCAACGAGCGCAACCCUUAAGCUUAGUUGCCAUCAUUAAGUUGGGCACUCUAAGUUGACUGCCGGUGACAAACCGGAGGAAGGUGGGGAUGACGUCAAAUCAUCAUGCCCCUUAUAAUUUGGGCUACACACGUGCUACAAUGGACAAUACAAAGGGCAGCGAAACCGUGAGGUCAAGCAAAUCCCAUAAAGUUGUUCUCAGUUCGGAUUGUAGUCUGCAACUCGACUACAUGAAGCUGGAAUCGCUAGUAAUCGUAGAUCAGCAUGCUACGGUGAAUACGUUCCCGGGUCU
Molecule: ribosomal RNA, 1372 nt
Filed under: uncultured bacterium
Lineage: Bacteria
Description: bacterial SSU rRNA
Rfam family: Bacterial small subunit ribosomal RNA
Source: RNAcentral